Pteronotus mesoamericanus is the source of this 129-nucleotide small nucleolar RNA. RefSeq annotates it as small nucleolar RNA SNORA3/SNORA45 family. The transcript has a single exon. NCBI's taxonomy places the organism in Eukaryota, Metazoa, Chordata, Mammalia, Chiroptera, Mormoopidae. The record is from RefSeq and is a predicted model, not a curated record.
CCCGAUACUAGAGUCACAUCCUGACACAACUCUUGUCUUGGGGUGCUUGAGUCUUCAGAGAGAAUCCGCUUGUCUUGAUUCCCCAGGGGGCAACCAGUGCUCCCAGCCAUGCCCCAAGCAGAAACAUGC